UUGGAAACAAGCCACACCAGCUCUCCCUGCAGAUGAGACCUGCCACACAAACAGGCCAAAAAGAAGGAAGUGAGAUAUAUCCCCCACGGUGGACUGCCACAGACACACUGAUCGGGGAGCGUGCCAUGUCAGUGGAGUGAGAGGGACUUAUGGAAGGUGCUGCAUUGAGUUCUUCAUAUUUGAAGGUCAGUGGCAGCCUGACAUGUACUCAGAGGGGAGAGAGGACCCAGUUGAAACAGAUGGGAAGUGCUGAUUCGUGUACAGAAGAAGAGAAAGUCAAUCAAUUUGAAAUGGGAGUCCAGAAAUGGACAUGGCAAGCCAGCGUAAUCAAAUCUAAAGCUUAUGGCAAAGAGAAAUGUUCCCGGAAUUUAAUUGAGAUCAAUGUGAUUAUUCUUGCUGGGAAUUAAAUCUCAUUGUUACGCUUUUACUCUAGAUGUAGGUUGGUAGCUUAGUUAAAAUUUUGUACAUCUACCUCCUAUCCCAGACUUUAUGUCCUUGCUAACAUGUGCAUAACACUUACUGUAGCUACCAGAUCUGAUUAUGUAUGCUGUUCUUUUAAUAGGGAAUCUGCUAAAACACAGCCUAGCUGGGUAAGUGCUAAUAUUGCUAUGCGAAGUCUGGCU
Oreochromis aureus is the source of this 623-nucleotide long non-coding RNA. RefSeq lists it as uncharacterized. The record is from RefSeq and is a predicted model, not a curated record. NCBI's taxonomy places the organism in Eukaryota, Metazoa, Chordata, Actinopteri, Cichliformes, Cichlidae. The transcript is spliced from 3 exons.